Molecule: ribosomal RNA, 1638 nt
Filed under: Shigella flexneri
Lineage: Bacteria; Pseudomonadati; Pseudomonadota; Gammaproteobacteria; Enterobacterales; Enterobacteriaceae
Description: partial 23S ribosomal RNA
Rfam family: Bacterial large subunit ribosomal RNA
Source: RNAcentral
GGUUAAGCGACUAAGCGUACACGGUGGAUGCCCUGGCAGUCAGAGGCGAUGAAGGACGUGCUAAUCUGCGAUAAGCGUCGGUAAGGUGAUAUGAACCGUUAUAACCGGCGAUUUCCGAAUGGGGAAACCCAGUGUGAUUCGUCACACUAUCAUUAACUGAAUCCAUAGGUUAAUGAGGCGAACCGGGGGAACUGAAACAUCUAAGUACCCCGAGGAAAAGAAAUCAACCGAGAUUCCCCCAGUAGCGGCGAGCGAACGGGGAGCAGCCCAGAGCCUGAAUCAGUGUGUGUGUUAGUGGAAGCGUCUGGAAAGGCGUGCGAUACAGGGUGACAGCCCCGUACACAAAAAUGCACAUACUGUGAGCUCGAUGAGUAGGGCGGGACACGUGGUAUCCUGUCUGAAUAUGGGGGGACCAUCCUCCAAGGCUAAAUACUCCUGACUGACCGAUAGUGAACCAGUACCGUGAGGGAAAGGCGAAAAGAACCCCGGCGAGGGGAGUGAAAAAGAACCUGAAACCGUGUACGUACAAGCAGUGGGAGCACGCUUAGGCGUGUGACUGCGUACCUUUUGUAUAAUGGGUCAGCGACUUAUAUUCUGUAGCAAGGUUAACCGAAUAGGGGAGCCGAAGGGAAACCGAGUCUUAACUGGGCGUUAAGUUGCAGGGUAUAGACCCGAAACCCGGUGAUCUAGCCAUGGGCAGGUUGAAGGUUGGGUAACACUAACUGGAGGACCGAACCGACUAAUGUUGAAAAAUUAGCGGAUGACUUGUGGCUGGGGGUGAAAGGCCAAUCAAACCGGGAGAUAGCUGGUUCUCCCCGAAAGCUAUUUAGGUAGCGCCUCGUGAAUUCAUCUCCGGGGGUAGAGCACUGUUUCGGCAAGGGGGUCAUCCCGACUUACCAACCCGAUGCAAACUGCGAAUACCGGAGAAUGUUAUCACGGGAGACACACGGCGGGUGCUAACGUCCGUCGUGAAGAGGGAAACAACCCAGACCGCCAGCUAAGGUCCCAAAGUCAUGGUUAAGUGGGAAACGAUGUGGGAAGGCCCAGACAGCCAGGAUGUUGGCUUAGAAGCAGCCAUCAUUUAAAGAAAGCGUAAUAGCUCACUGGUCGAGUCGGCCUGCGCGGAAGAUGUAACGGGGCUAAACCAUGCACCGAAGCUGCGGCAGCGACGCUUAUGCGUUGUUGGGUAGGGGAGCGUUCUGUAAGCCUGUGAAGGUGUGCUGUGAGGUAUGCUGGAGGUAUCAGAAGUGCGAAUGCUGACAUAAGUAACGAUAAAGCGGGUGAAAAGCCCGCUCGCCGGAAGACCAAGGGUUCCUGUCCAACGUUAAUCGGGGCAGGGUGAGUCGACCCCUAAGGCGAGGCCGAAAGGCGUAGUCGAUGGGAAACAGGUUAAUAUUCCUGUACUUGGUGUUACUGCGAAGGGGGGACGGAGAAGGCUAUGUUGGCCGGGCGACGGUUGUCCCGGUUUAAGCGUGUAGGCUGGUUUUCCAGGCAAAUCCGGAAAAUCAAGGCCGAGGCGUGAUGACGAGGCACUACGGUGCUGAAGCAACAAAUGCCCUGCUUCCAGGAAAAGCCUCUAAGCAUCAGGUAACAUCAAAUCGUACCCCAAACCGACACAGGUGGUCAGGUAGAGAAUAC